AUACGUAGGUGGCGAGCGUUGUCCGGAAUUACUGGGUGUAAAGGGUGCGUAGGCGGGAAUGCAAGUUGAAUGUUAAACUAUGGGCUUAACCCAUAUCUGCGUUCAAAACUGUAUUUCUUGAGUGAAGUAGAGGUAGGCGGAAUUCCUAGUGUAGCGGUGAAAUGCGUAAAUAUUAGGAGGAACACCAGUGGCGAAGGCGGCCUACUGGGCUUUAACUGACGCUGAGGCUCGAAAGCGUGGGUAGC
This 245-nucleotide ribosomal RNA is filed under the name uncultured bacterium. Its description in RNAcentral is "partial 16S ribosomal RNA". It matches the Rfam family "Bacterial small subunit ribosomal RNA", at positions 523 to 769 of the family's 1533-position model. The record is from RNAcentral.